This 1457-nucleotide ribosomal RNA is filed under the name uncultured organism. Its description in RNAcentral is "bacterial SSU rRNA". It matches the Rfam family "Bacterial small subunit ribosomal RNA". The record is from RNAcentral.
UGAUCCUGGCUCAGGACGAACGCUGGCGGCGUGCUUACACAUGCAAGUCGAACGGACAGAUUUAGAGCUUGCUUUAAAUCUGUUAGUGGCGGACGGGUGAGUAACGCGUGGGUAACCUGCCUUAAACAGAGGGAUAGCAAGUGGAAACGCUUGGUAAUACCACAUAAAGCCUAAGCAUUGCAUAAUGAAUAGGUGAAAGGAGGAAUCCGGUUUAAGAUGGGCCCGCGUCCAAUUAGCUAGUUGGUGAGGUAAGAGCGCACCAAGGCGACGAUUGGUAGCCGAACUGAGAGGUUGAGCGGCCACAUUGGGACUGAGAUACGGCCCAGACUCCUACGGGAGGCAGCAGUGGGGAAUAUUGCGCAAUGGGGGGAACCCUGACGCAGCGACGCCGCGUGAAGGAAGAAGGUCUUCGGAUUGUAAACUUCCUUGAUUAGGGAAGAGGAAGGACGGUACCUAAAGAACAAGCCACGGCUAACUACGUGCCAGCAGCCGCGGUAAUACGUAGGUGGCAAGCGUUGUCCGGAAUUACUGGGUGUAAAGGGCGAGUAGGUGGAUCACUAAGUCAGAGGUGAAAACCCAUGGCUAAACUGUGGGAUAGCAACUGAAACUAGAGAUCUUGAGUACUGGAGAGGGAAGCGGAAUUCCUAGUGUAGCGGUGAAAUGCGUAGAUAUUAGGAGGAACACCAGUGGCGAAGGCGGCUUCCUGGACAGAGACUGACACUGAGGCGCGAAAGCGUGGGGAGCGAACAGGAUUAGAUACCCUGGUAGUCCACGCUGUAAACGAUGGAUACUAGGUGUAGGUGGUAAGAAACCAUCUGUGCCGGAGUAAACACAAUAAGUAUCCCACCUGGGGAGUGCAGCCGCAAGGUUGAAACUCAAAGGAAUUGACGGGGGCCCGCACAAGCAGUGGAGUAUGUGGUUUAAUUCGAAGCAACGCGAAGAACCUUACCAGGGCUUGACAUCCCUUGAACUAUCUAGAGAUAGGUAGGGCCUACGGGACAAGGAGACAGGUGGUGCAUGGUUGUCGUCAGCUCGUGUCGUGAGAUGUUGGGUUAAGUCCCGCAACGAGCGCAACCCUUAUAGCUAGUUGCCAGCAAUAAGAUGGGGACUCUAGCGAGACAGCCGUUGAGAAAACGGAGGAAGGAAAGGAUGACGUCAAAUCAUCAUGCCCCUUAUGCUCUGGGCUACACACGUACUACAAUGGCUACUACAGAGGGAAGCGAAGCCAGGAGGCGGAGCAAAUCUCAAAAAGGUAGUCCCAGUUCAGAUUGUAGGCUGAAACUCGCCUGCAUGAAGUAGGAAUUGCUAGUAAUUGCAGGUCAGAAUACUGCAGUGAAUACGUUCCCGGGCCUUGUACACACCGCCCGUCACACCAUGAGAGUCUGCAACACCCGAAGUCAGUAGUUUAACCGAAAGGAGACACUGCCGAAGGUGGGGUAGGUGAUUGGGGUGAAGUC